Long non-coding RNA from Actinia tenebrosa (Australian red waratah sea anemone), 560 nucleotides. Lineage: Eukaryota; Metazoa; Cnidaria; Anthozoa; Actiniaria; Actiniidae. The record is from RefSeq and is a predicted model, not a curated record.
GAAAAAUGCAGACUUGCUGAACUUGUUCAUAUUCCUGAAAUAGAUAUGUCCUGCUGCCACGUUGUUUUUGUUUGGUCUUACCCUCAAGUUCUGUUAAAAUGAGACAAAUAACGAUGGUGUAGCUGAUAUAGGACAAAAGUUUGUGGGUUCCUUGCGGAGAACAACAAUCGAUGUCGUGGGGCUUUUCAAGGAAAAUCAUUGUUGUAUCAGUUGGGUAAAGAUAUCUUCGAGAACAAAGCAAUUCAAACUGCAACAAUUAAGCAGACAUGGGUAACAAGAAUUCAAGUUCGAAAACAAGAGACGACAGCAAAACUUCUAAUAGUUUAACCCAGAAUAACGUCGUAGCUGUUGAUAGAGAACCUUUAAGGACAUCAUCCAGACUAAAUGGGCUUCCAAAUUACCAGAAUGCUGCAGUAACAAUACAGAAUAAUGUUCAAUCAAAUGCAGGUGUGCAUUUUAGCGCUCACACACAGCGAGUGGUUUGUGCACGUGCAUCAGAUCAAGAAAUAAAUACAGACAACCUCAACAAAAACUACUCUAGUGUUGGUCAUAUUUCCAGG